This 357-nucleotide unclassified non-coding RNA is filed under the name uncultured fungus. RNAcentral describes it as "partial contains small subunit ribosomal RNA, internal transcribed spacer 1, and 5.8S ribosomal RNA". The stretch from base 1 to 73 matches the Rfam family "Eukaryotic small subunit ribosomal RNA", at positions 1759 to 1831 of the family's 1831-position model. The record is from RNAcentral. Lineage: Eukaryota; Fungi.
UCAAACUUGGUCAUUUAGAGGAAGUAAAAGUCGUAACAAGGUUUCCGUAGGUGAACCUGCGGAAGGAUCAUUAAAAAGAUCGAUUCAACAUAUGGACGAUCAAAUCCAUAUCCACCUUGUGUGCACUCAUUGACCGUUUGCUUUGGCAGGAAGGAGCCUUCGAUCCGGAGGCGCCGAGGCGUCAUUUGUUUGUGACAGCCUCGGGCCUGCCAGAGUUUUUUUUCCUGAAUUCACGCUUAUUUCUUACUUGGACUGAACCUUUGUUCUGAUUCUCUUGUGGGAUCAGUCAAACUAAAUAAACAAAAUACAACUUUCAACAACGGAUCUCUUGGCUCUCGCAUCGAUGAAGAACGCAGC